AAUUUCAGCUGAAAAAGUCAUGAACAUAAAAGUUGUAGAGCUCAUCAACACAUACAACUUUUAUUUUGGUCAUUUCUUUAUCCGAUAAAGUGAUAGUAACAUUGUUCAUAAAGUUUACAUAUCUCUCUUAUAGUUUAUAGAACCAAAUGAGACAGAUGUAAAUUUUGUAAACAAUGUUACUAUCACUUUGUCGGAUGAAGAAACGACCAAAAUAAAAGUUAUAGAUCUUGAUGAGUUAUACAACUUCGUUGUUGAUGACUUUUUCAAUUGAAAUC
This is a microRNA precursor of Oryza rufipogon (brownbeard rice), 275 nucleotides long. It matches the Rfam family "MIR821 microRNA precursor family". The record is from Rfam. Lineage: Eukaryota; Viridiplantae; Streptophyta; Magnoliopsida; Poales; Poaceae.